GCCUAGCCCUAAACAGACAAUCCUUUUACAAUCAUUUUUCGCCAGGGAACAACGAGCCUCAGCUUAAAACCCAAAGGACUUGGCGGUGCUUUAAACCCCCCUAGAGGAGCCUGUCCUAGAACCGAUAACCCCCGUUUAACCUCACCCCCUCUUGUCUCUUUCCGCCUGUAUACCUCCGUCGCCAGUCCACCCUGUAAAGGCCUAGAAGUGGGCAAAAUCGGCACAGUCUAAGACGUCAGGUCGAGGUGCAGCUUACGAGGAGGGAAGAGAUGGGCUACAUUUUCUGACCCAGAAAAUACGAACUUUGCCCUGAAAAAGCAUCUGAAGGCGGAUUUAGUAGUAAGGAAGGAUUAGAGCGCUUUCCUGAAACUGGCACUGAAGCGCGUACACACCG
Molecule: ribosomal RNA, 394 nt
Filed under: Gobiodon brochus
Lineage: Eukaryota; Metazoa; Chordata; Actinopteri; Gobiiformes; Gobiidae
Description: partial 12S ribosomal RNA
Rfam family: Bacterial small subunit ribosomal RNA
Source: RNAcentral